GAAGGUGAUGCCUGCCCGGUGACCCAACGUUUAACGGCCGCGGUAUCCUAACCGUGCAAAGGUAGCGCAAUCAAUUGUCCCAUAAAUCGAGACCAGUAUGAAUGGCUAAACGAGGUCUUAACUGUCUCUUGCAGGCAAUCGGUGAAAUUGAUCUCCCUGUGCAAAAGCAGGGAUAAACCCAUAAGACGAGAAGACCCUGUGGAACUUUAAAAACAGCAGCCACCCCAAAUAACAUAACCCCCCACUGGGCUCACUUACACAUAAGCCACUGGCCUGCAUUUUUUCGGUUGGGGCGACCUUGGAGAAAAACAAAUCCUCCAAAAAUUAGACCAUACCUCUAGACUAAGAGCAACCCCUCAACGUGCUAAUAGCACCCAGACCCAAUAUAAUUGAUCAAUGGACCAAUCUACCCCAGGGAUAACAGCGCAAUCUCCUUUAAGAGUCCAUAUCGACAAGGAGGUUUACGACCUCGAUGUUGGAUCCGGACAUCCUAGUGGUGCAGAAGCUACUAAGGGUUCGUUUGUUCAACGAUUAACAGUCCU
RNAcentral lists this ribosomal RNA (542 nucleotides) under Oenanthe schalowi (Schalow's wheatear). RNAcentral's name for it is "partial 16S ribosomal RNA". It matches the Rfam family "Bacterial large subunit ribosomal RNA", at positions 1848 to 2597 of the family's 2925-position model. Lineage: Eukaryota; Metazoa; Chordata; Aves; Passeriformes; Muscicapidae. The record is from RNAcentral.